Long non-coding RNA from Topomyia yanbarensis, 844 nucleotides. RefSeq lists it as uncharacterized. The transcript is spliced from 3 exons. The record is from RefSeq and is a predicted model, not a curated record. NCBI's taxonomy places the organism in Eukaryota, Metazoa, Arthropoda, Insecta, Diptera, Culicidae.
GAAUGAAUUUAAUAUGCAGUGAAACAAAAAAAAAGUAUGGUAUUGUUCUGAAUAAUAUGUAGAAAAUAUUGAUGAGACAUUAAAAAACUUCCAAAGAAAUACUUUUAGGACAUAAUUUCGUAGAACAGCGUCUCAGCUUUCCAAUGGAAGUUAUGUAGCAUACUUUUUAAGAGUUUUACGAAAGAUAUAGAAAUAUGAUAUUGAAAAACGAAUUAUACCUCCUGUUAAUAGUGCCAUACAGUUCAGCGAGCCCCUCGGCGCCCAUACAGCAAAUCAACAUCAACAAACCGCGCCCUUCGCCUUCUCGAGGGAUUGGCACGAAUAUCGGUCACGGACAAGACAGUCAGAUAGGAAGAAAGAAAAAAAGUCAAGUCAUUCGGUAAAAAGUAGCGUAAGCUAGAACACAUUUUCACAAUUGUUAUAAAUUAACCCAAUUCUCAAAUUAAAUAAUUGUUCCCAUUUCUAACUAAAUCAACCCUAACUGUACUGUGGUAAGUUUAAUUAUAUUAGAUAUUUAUAAAUACCUAAAAUUGAACCUAAAAGGAAUUAAAGCUACGGUACGGACAGAGUUAGUGCGGGUAGGAAACAGUACGGAUACAAUUGAUACGGAGAAACAGUACGGAUCGAAGACUGUGCGAACAAUACCAUUAGGAGCACAUUUAAAUUAUAAUUUAAAUAGACUUCGAAACCGAACAGGUCAUUAAGGACACAGACUGAUUACUGUACGGGUACGAUUUAGACAGCUCUGUACGGCAGCGAAAACAUUAACAGAAUUUAUAAUCCAACCUUGAUUCACAACGAAUAAAGAAGAUUCAUAGAUUUGCUAGUUUUCACUGCUGUCCGG